This 505-nucleotide long non-coding RNA is filed under the name Mytilus galloprovincialis (Mediterranean mussel). The record is from RNAcentral. Lineage: Eukaryota; Metazoa; Mollusca; Bivalvia; Mytilida; Mytilidae.
GUCUUAACUUGACCUUAUUUCUAUAAAUUAUUUGUUGAGUUAAAUUUUUGUUGAUGAGGACUAGUUCUCAGGAACUUCAUACUCGUGUUUAAUAGACCUUCUAUAUAUGGUGUUUAUGGUGUAAAGAAUGAUUUUUUGUAUCCAUUUUGUCUGAUAGGAUCUCUGAACGUCAUGACCUAAAUAUUUAGGUUCCUUUUAAAGUACAUGUAGCUGUCUUUGUAAAAAUCAUGCAGAGGGUGAUUCACAGAAGUAAUUUUGUUUGGUCCUAUAUCAUAUGAAUUUUAAGUAAAUUUAUGUCCCAUGUAUAAUGCAUGUUACCAUGGUAACCAUCAAAACAAAGUUUUGCCUGAAUAGGUAAAAACAGACCCUUUUGAAAAUCUAGAAUAAGGGAAUUUAAUGUCCCAUGGGAAUUAAGUUAAUCAAUAAAAAAACUAUAAGGGUUUUUACAGUUUUUGUAAACAAAACUCCAAACUUAAAAGUCAAAAGGUUUAAAUUGAUCAGGGCU